RNAcentral lists this small RNA (371 nucleotides) under Bos taurus (domestic cattle). The record is from RNAcentral. Lineage: Eukaryota; Metazoa; Chordata; Mammalia; Artiodactyla; Bovidae.
AGCGGAAUUCGUGAGACCAUUGGCAACUACAACGUGGGAGAGGGGAAGGAAUCGAAACCAACCACACAAACAAAAAUCCUAGAGAAUCUACAGAGCAAGUCAAAACAUGAGAAUAAUACAGGUUUUUCUUUAGUCAUUGCUCUCAGAGUCCUUUCGCCCGCUAAAAUUGCAGUCCACCUCACCUCCCUAGGAUGCCCUCCAAAACUGUGCUGAACUCUGAACCUGAUUUGGGGGGAGCUCAUUCUAAUCCGGUCCUACUCCUAUAUGUUUUUUGUCUCCAAUGUUCACAACUAUCAGAACCAGGACGUUUCCUUUUGUGGCAGUUAUCAGUGUCUUUUUAUAUAUUAUUCAGUUCAGUUCAGUCGCUCAGU